Molecule: long non-coding RNA, 529 nt
Organism: Musca vetustissima
Lineage: Eukaryota; Metazoa; Arthropoda; Insecta; Diptera; Muscidae
Exons: 2
Source: RefSeq, a predicted model, not a curated record
GGAAGUCGACGGAAGAAAACAGCAACAUCAGCGGAGAUGGUUCAAAAUAUAAAGAAGCGACUUGACCGAAACCCGCUUUGCAGUGGCCAAAAAAUGGCUUGUGAGCUGAACAUAUCGCAAUAUUCCAUUCGGCAAAUAUUGAAAAAUGAGCUCGGAGUUGCUUCGCUUGGCCGCAUGUAAUGAACUGCCGAAUUUGGUUUAUUCCGAUGAGAAAACAUUCGUUGUCCAGCAGUUUAUAAACAAACAAAAUGAUCGUGUUUACUUGCUAAAGAGAUCAGCUGAAAAUGUGCACCUUCGGUUGGCCACAAGAAUUCAAGCGCCGGUCAUGGAGAAAGACUAUGGUCGCUCUCCGCCCGUAUUAAUCGACCAUGGCAUCAGAAUAAAUUUCGAAUAUUAUUGCGAAAAUAUUCUGGAGGGUGUAUUAAAGCCUUGGGCACGCAAACAUUUUGGCCGCAGACCUUGGACAUUCCAACAAGACUCAGCACCAUCGCACUCAGUACGCGCCACCCAAGAACGGUUACAAAAUGAG